Molecule: ribosomal RNA, 253 nt
Filed under: uncultured bacterium
Lineage: Bacteria
Description: partial 16S ribosomal RNA
Rfam family: Bacterial small subunit ribosomal RNA
Source: RNAcentral
UACGUAGGGGGCAAGCGUUGUCCGGAAUUACUGGGCGUAAAGCGCACGUAGGCGGAUCAGUUAGUCGGGGGUGAAAUCCCGGGGCUCAACCCCGGAACUGCCUUCGAUACUGCUGGUCUGGAGUCCGAGAGAGGUGAGUGGAAUUCCGAGUGUAGAGGUGAAAUUCGUAGAUAUUCGGAGGAACACCAGUGGCGAAGGCGGCUCACUGGCUCGGUACUGACGCUGAGGUGCGAAAGCGUGGGGAGCAAACAGG